UUCCUUGUCUUCCAAUUUUAUUAAGAAAAAGAUUUUGACAAAACACUUAAGUUUGAAAAGAAGUUGAUUUGCAUUUGAAAAUGGUUUUGAAUUGAUGACAAGAUGGUUGAAAAAUGAUGAGAGGCGCAAAAUAGGGAGUUCAAGCCUGAGGGCGAGGACUCUAACAUAAGGGAGUAACUUAACGCCACAAUUUGUACAAAACGCGAUAUCGCUUGCACAAACGCAACAAAAUGAUAGGACAAUAAGAUACAUAUAACAAUCAUAAACAACACACAUUCAUCACAAACAAAUCGAAAAUUAAAUGUGCGCGUAUCAAAUUAAACACAACACGAGAACACAAAUUGAGUUCAUGCAACGUGAGGAUAUGUAAUACUAAGGUACCAACGCAGAAUUCAAAUGCAAUAAAAUGAAAAUAUUGCAC
Molecule: long non-coding RNA, 421 nt
Filed under: Lathyrus oleraceus (garden pea)
Lineage: Eukaryota; Viridiplantae; Streptophyta; Magnoliopsida; Fabales; Fabaceae
Description: Pisum sativum (pea) long non-coding RNA (PSAT_LNC002070)
Source: RNAcentral